GAUGAACGCUAGCGGCAGGCCUAAUACAUGCAAGUCGAACGGUUCUUGGUUUUCGGAUCAAGGAUAGUGGCGCACGGGUGCGUAACACGUACACAACAUACCCUUUACUGGGGGAUAGCGGUGGGAAACUGCCAGUAAUACCCCAUGUCGUUAAGGUUUGGCAUCAAAUUAUAACGAAAAUUACGGUGGUAGAGGAUUGGUGUGCGUCCGAUUAGCUAGUUGGCGGGGUAACGGCCCACCAAGGCGACGAUCGGUAGGGGGUGUGAGAGCAUGGCCCCCCCANACGGGUACUGAGACACGGACCCGACUCCUACGGGAGGCAGCAGUAAGGAAUAUUGGACAAUGGGCGGAAGCCUGAUCCAGCCAUGCCGCGUGAAGGAAGAACGCGCUCAGCGUUGUAAACUUCUUUUGAAUGGGAACAAUAACCUCCACGGGUUGGGGGCUUGAGGGUACCAUUAGAAUAAGCACCGGCUAACUCCGUGCCAGCAGCCGCGGU
RNAcentral lists this ribosomal RNA (496 nucleotides) under uncultured bacterium. RNAcentral's name for it is "bacterial SSU rRNA". It matches the Rfam family "Bacterial small subunit ribosomal RNA", at positions 28 to 521 of the family's 1533-position model. The record is from RNAcentral.